GCUGGCGGCGUGCUUAACACAUGCAAGUCGCACGAGUAACGUUUCAGCUUGCUGAAACUAGUAAAGUGGCGCACGGGUGAGUAACGCGUGGGUAAUCUACCUCCGAAUUGGGGAUAACAUUGCGAAAGCGAUGCUAAUACCGGAUGACAUCUCAAUAACUUCGGUCUUUGAGAUCAAAGAUGGCCUCUCCAUGGAAGCUAUUGUUUGGAGAUGAGCCCGCGUACCAUUAGCUUGUUGGUAGGGUAAUGGCCUACCAAGGCGACGAUGGUUAGCUGGUCUGAGAGGAUGAUCAGCCACACUGGAACUGACACACGGUCCAGACUCCUACGGGAGGCAGCAGUGAGGAAUUUUGCGCAAUGGGGGAAACCCUGACGCAGCAACGCCGCGUGAGUGAUGAAGGCUUUCGGGUCGUAAAGCUCUGUCAAGUGAGAAGAACCUGCCCUUUGCUAAUAUCAUUGGGCACUGACGGUAUCACUGAAGGAAGCACCGGCUAACUCCGUGCCAGCAGCCGCGGUAAUACGGAGGGUGCAAGCGUUAUUCGGAAUCACUGGGCGUAAAGAGCGCGUA
Molecule: ribosomal RNA, 567 nt
Filed under: uncultured delta proteobacterium
Lineage: Bacteria; Deltaproteobacteria
Description: bacterial SSU rRNA
Rfam family: Bacterial small subunit ribosomal RNA
Source: RNAcentral